UCUAAUAUGGCAGACUAGUGCAUUGGCUUUAAGCUCCAAUCAUAAAAUUUAUUUUUUUUAGAA
This 63-nucleotide transfer RNA is filed under the name Trigonopterus jasminae. RNAcentral's name for it is "tRNA-Leu". Lineage: Eukaryota; Metazoa; Arthropoda; Insecta; Coleoptera; Curculionidae. The record is from RNAcentral.